This 254-nucleotide ribosomal RNA is filed under the name uncultured bacterium. RNAcentral's name for it is "partial 16S ribosomal RNA". It matches the Rfam family "Bacterial small subunit ribosomal RNA", at positions 524 to 776 of the family's 1533-position model. The record is from RNAcentral.
UACGGGGGGAGCAAGCGUUGUUCGGAUUUACUGGGCGUAAAGGGCGCGUAGGCGGCCUCCGCAAGUCGACUGUGAAAUCUCCGGGCUUAACCCGGAAAGGUCAGCCGAAACUGCGGGGCUAGAGUGCAGAAGGGGCAACUGGAAUUCUCGGUGUAGCGGUGAAAUGCGUAGAUAUCAAGAGGAACACCAGUGGCGAAGGCGAGUCUCUGGACAACUCCUGACACUGAGGCACGAAAGCUAGGGGAGCAAACAGG